GCAUAUCAAUAAGCGGAGGAAAAGAAACUAACAAGGGUUCCCCUAGUAACGGCGAGUGAAGCGGGAAGAGCACAAAUUUAAAAUCUACCUGGUUUCCAGGUCGAGUUGUAAUUUGAAGAUACGUUUUUGAUGUUCCUGGUUGGACUAAAUCCUUUGGGAUAAGGUAUCAUAGAGGGUGAGAAUCCCGUAUAUACCAACCGUAGGGAUGUUAUUAAAUACGUUUCUAAGAGUCGAGUUGUUUGGGAAUGCAGCUCUAAAUGGGUGGUAAAUUUCACCUAAUGCUAAAUAUAAGCGAGAGACCGAUAGCGAACAAGUACAGUGAUGGAAAGAUGAAAAGAACUUUGAAAAGAGAGUUAAAUAGUACGUGAAAUUGUUGAAAGGGAAACGAUUGAAGUCAGUCAUGCCGGUGGGAAUCAACUUAGGGGAAACUCUGGGUGCACUUCUUCGUUUGGCAGGUUAGUGUCGAUUUUGGAUGUCAUAAAAUAAUUGGGGGAAGGUAGCUCCUUCGGGAGUGUUAUAGCCCUUGAUAGAUGUGAUGUUUGGGGUCGAGGAUUGCAACGGAUACCCUUUGGGGCUAGCCGCCUGAUCUCUAAUCGGUGUUGGGUUACGGAUAGCAUGCUGACCGUGAUCUAAUUACUGGUUAAAAGGUUAGAGCGUGCAUAAAUUCGUUAAGGACGUUGACGUAAUGGCUUUAAACGAC
This 700-nucleotide ribosomal RNA is filed under the name Gigaspora margarita. Its description in RNAcentral is "eukaryotic LSU rRNA". It matches the Rfam family "Eukaryotic large subunit ribosomal RNA", at positions 38 to 648 of the family's 3401-position model. Lineage: Eukaryota; Fungi; Glomeromycota; Glomeromycetes; Diversisporales; Gigasporaceae. The record is from RNAcentral.